AAACCUGGGGGUUAGGGGAAAAGGGUGAGCUACUAGAGCCUAGUGAGCAGAACAGUAAAAACAAUUUAUAAAGAUAUGCCAUCAUGAAAUGCAUCACAACACAAGUAAAUCACCUUAAGAUGGUAUUGUCACCAAUAGCCCUCUACAUAUCCAAUAAAUGUCCGGCCCUCGACGGAGCUCCUCAGGACUUCCUCUUAACAUA
This 202-nucleotide long non-coding RNA is filed under the name Manihot esculenta (cassava). RNAcentral describes it as "long non-coding RNA (MESC_LNC000093)". Lineage: Eukaryota; Viridiplantae; Streptophyta; Magnoliopsida; Malpighiales; Euphorbiaceae. The record is from RNAcentral.